RNAcentral lists this ribosomal RNA (253 nucleotides) under uncultured bacterium. Its description in RNAcentral is "partial 16S ribosomal RNA". It matches the Rfam family "Bacterial small subunit ribosomal RNA", at positions 524 to 776 of the family's 1533-position model. The record is from RNAcentral.
UACGUAGGCAGCAAGCGUUGUUCGGAGUUACUGGGCGUAAAGGGUGUGUAGGCGGUUUUUUAAGUUUGGUGUGAAAUCUCCCGGCUCAACUGGGAGGGUGCGCCGAAUACUGAAAGACUAGAGUGCGGGAGAGGAAAGUGGAAUUCCUGGUGUAGCGGUGAAAUGCGUAGAUAUCAGGAGGAACACCGGUGGUGUAGACGGCUUUCUGGACCGUAACUGACGCUGAGACACGAAAGCGUGGGUAGCAAGCAGG